Molecule: ribosomal RNA, 497 nt
Filed under: uncultured bacterium
Lineage: Bacteria
Description: partial 16S ribosomal RNA
Rfam family: Bacterial small subunit ribosomal RNA
Source: RNAcentral
GAUGAACGCUGGCGGCGUGCCUAAUACAUGCAAGUCGAGCGAACAGACGAGGAGCUUGCUCCUCUGACGUUAGCGGCGGACGGGUGAGUAACACGUGGAUAACCUACCUAUAAGACUGGGAUAACUUCUGGAAACCGGAGCUAAUACCGGAUAAUAUAUUGAACCGCAUGGUUCAAUAGUGAAAGACGGUUUUGCUGUCACUUAUAGAUGGAUCCGCGCCGCAUUAGCUAGUUGGUAAGGUAACGGCUUACCAAGGCGACGAUGCGUAGCCGACCUGAGAGGGUGAUCGGCCACACUGGAACUGAGACACGGUCCAGACUCCUACGGGAGGCAGCAGUAGGGAAUCUUCCGCAAUGGGCGAAAGCCUGACGGAGCAACGCCGCGUGAGUGAUGAAGGUCUUCGGAUCGUAAAACUCUGUUAUUAGGGAAGAACAAAUGUGUAAGUAACUAUGCACGUCUUGACGGUACCUAAUCAGAAAGCCACGGCUAACUACGUG